AACGCUAGCUACAGGCUUAACACAUGCAAGUCGAGGGGCAGCAUGAACUUAGCUUGCUAAGUUUGAUGGCGACCGGCGCACGGGUGAGUAACGCGUAUCCAACCUUCCGCUUACUCGGGAAUAGCCUUUCGAAAGAAAGAUUAAUACCCGAUGGUAUCUUAAGCGCACAUGCAAAUAAGAUUAAAGAUUUAUCGGUAAGCGAUGGGGAUGCGUUCCAUUAGAUAGUAGGCGGGGUAACGGCCCACCUAGUCGACGAUGGAUAGGGGUUCUGAGAGGAAGGUCCCCCACAUUGGAACUGAGACACGGUCCAAACUCCUACGGGAGGCAGCAGUGAGGAAUAUUGGUCAAUGGGCGCGAGCCUGAACCAGCCAAGUAGCGUGAAGGAUGAAGGUCCUACGGAUUGUAAACUUCUUUUAUAAGGGAAUAAAGUCACCUACGUGUAGGUGUUUGUAUGUACCUUAUGAAUAAGCAUCGGCUAACUCCGUGCCAGCAGCCGCGGUAAUACGGAGGAUGCGAGCGUUAUCCGGAUUUAUUGGGUUUAAAGGGAGCGUAGACGGGUCGUUAAGUCAGCUGUGAAAGUUUGAGGCUCAACCUUAAAAUUGCAGUUGAUACUGGCGUCCUUGAGUACGGUUGAGGCAGGCGGAAUUCGUGGUGUAGCGGUGAAAUGCAUAGAUAUCACGAAGAACUCCGAUUG
RNAcentral lists this ribosomal RNA (694 nucleotides) under uncultured bacterium. RNAcentral's name for it is "bacterial SSU rRNA". It matches the Rfam family "Bacterial small subunit ribosomal RNA", at positions 32 to 715 of the family's 1533-position model. The record is from RNAcentral.